AGAGCCACCCCGGUCCUGGGUGACCGCCUCGCCAGCUGCAGAAGCAGCUUCCGGCAGCGUUCUCAGUGCCUUCCUGAGUUGACGGGCACCAUGCAGCCAGAGAUUCUCUACCUUGCUUUGAGGGUGGUUUGGGUGUUCUCUUUCCUUUCUUUCUGCCCCCAAGAGAGACAGUUGCAGGGACAGCUGAAGGGGCUUGCUACUGGCAUCUGGAAGGCAGAGGCCAGUCCCCACAGUGAGAUUAUCUGACCGUGGUGCAGGAUAGAGAAAUCCUGGGACAGUGCUGUGGAUGUCCGGGGUGGUCAUUCCUCCAGCCACAGGGGGCUUUCAGAGGUUGUCCUGAGGCUGCAGUACAGGGGGCUGUCCUGAGGAGCAGGGUGGUCCCCACCUGGGCUGAGGACAGAUCUUUGGGAGGCAGCAGUGGCCUGAGCCCUGGAGCAGGAAGCAGAGGUCCUGGCUCCAUUCCCCCUCAUUCUCUCUCUGCUCAAAUGAGUCACUCCACCCUCACUACCCCUAUUUACUCAUCUGAGGCAGGAGCUGACUUAGGAGCUGGGGAACCACUCAUAGGCCUUGGGCGAAGAAAAAUCCUGAAGUCAGACUGUGUCAGGUGUCUGAGAGCUUCCACUUCACCUUAAAGAAACUCAAACUGAAAAAGAGUCCGGUCUGCGCUUGGAAGAAGACGUGGAGCAGCGGGUCAAUGGACAGCUGAUCCUCAAACAGCACGGGUUUGAUCUGGAGGGUCCGUCCACUCCUACGCGGGUUUCUUCGGCGUCUGUCACCCAGGAGUUGGCAAGGCCAAUGCCCAGCCCUCCUCUUCCUCCUGCUCUUCCUCAGCCUACACAACAUGAAGAUGACGAAGACGGAGACCUUUACGAUGAUCCCCUUCCACUUGAUAAAUAGUAAAUAUCUUUCCAUUCCUUAUGAUUUUCUCUGGCUUACUUUAUGGUGCGAUAGUGGAUAGCAUAUAAAAUACGUGUGAAUGGACUUUGUCUGUUAUAGACAAGGCUUCCAGUCAGCAGUAGAGGAUUCGUAGUUAAGUUUUGAGGGAGUCAAAAGUUGUACGUGGAUUUUUCAACUGCAGGGCUCAGUCCCCCACUCCCCGUGUUAAGGGUCAACUGCACAUUUGUGCUAUUUGACGUUAAAAUACAAUGUAACCGGCCAGGCGCGGUGGCUCAAGCCUGUAAUCCCGGCACUUUGGGAGGCCAAGGCGGGUGGAUCACGAGGUCAAGAGAUUGAAACCAUCCUGGUCAACAUGGUGAAACCCCGUCUCUACUAAAAAUACAAAAAAUUAGCUGGGCAUGGUGGCGCGUGCCUGUAAUCCCAGCUACUCGGGAGGCUGAGGCAGGAGAAUUGCCUGAACCCAGGAGGCGGAGGUUGCGCUGAGCCGAGAUCGCGCCAUUGCACUCCAGCCUGGGUAACAAGAGCGAGACUCCGUCUCAAAAAAAAAAACAAAAAAAACAAAGUAACAGUGGGCAUGUAUCACGGUGCUGCUCUCCCCACCCCACCCCCGCUUUGAAUGAUUUUUACGUCCUUCUUUGCACUUUUCUGUGUUCUUCACAUUUCUUUCCAAUGAGCACGCCUCACAUGUAUCACCCAAAGGAACAGUGGCUUUGUCUCUAGCCAGUGUCA
Molecule: long non-coding RNA, 1626 nt
Filed under: Callithrix jacchus (white-tufted-ear marmoset)
Lineage: Eukaryota; Metazoa; Chordata; Mammalia; Primates; Cebidae
Description: lncRNA (ENSCJAG00000073384.1)
Source: RNAcentral